UACGUAGGGGGCAAGCGUUGUCCGGAUUUAUUGGGCGUAAAGAGCGUGUAGGCGGCUUGGUAGGUCCGCUGUGAAAACUCGAGGCUCAACCUCGAGAUGUCGGCGGAAACCACUUGGCUAGAGUCCGGAAGAGGAGAGUGGAAUUCCCGGUGUAGCGGUGAAAUGCGCAGAUAUCGGGAAGAACACCUAUGGCGAAGGCAGCUCCCUGGGACGGUACUGACGCUGAGACGCGAAAGCGUGGGGAGCGAACAGG
This 253-nucleotide ribosomal RNA is filed under the name uncultured bacterium. Its description in RNAcentral is "partial 16S ribosomal RNA". It matches the Rfam family "Bacterial small subunit ribosomal RNA", at positions 524 to 776 of the family's 1533-position model. The record is from RNAcentral.